This 340-nucleotide ribosomal RNA is filed under the name Piezonotus asper. RNAcentral describes it as "SSU rRNA". It matches the Rfam family "Eukaryotic small subunit ribosomal RNA", at positions 150 to 471 of the family's 1831-position model. Lineage: Eukaryota; Metazoa; Arthropoda; Insecta; Coleoptera; Curculionidae. The record is from RNAcentral.
UGGUAAUUCUAGAGCUAAUACAUGCAAACAGAGCUCCGACCGGAGACGGAAGGAGUGCUUUUAUUAGAUCAAAACCAAUCGGUGGCGGGUUCGCUCGUCAUCGUACAACUUGGUGACUCUGAAUAACUUUACGCUGAUCGCACGGUCUCGCACCGGCGACGCAUCUUUCAAAUGUCUGCCUUAUCAACUGUCGAUGGUAGGUUCUGCGCCUACCAUGGUUGUAACGGGUAACGGGGAAUCAGGGUUCGAUUCCGGAGAGGGAGCCUGAGAAACGGCUACCACAUCCAAGGAAGGCAGCAGGCGCGCAAAUUACCCACUCCCGGCACGGGGAGGUAGUGAC